RNAcentral lists this ribosomal RNA (408 nucleotides) under uncultured bacterium. Its description in RNAcentral is "partial 16S ribosomal RNA". It matches the Rfam family "Bacterial small subunit ribosomal RNA", at positions 28 to 526 of the family's 1533-position model. The record is from RNAcentral.
GACGAACGCUGGCGGCGUGCCUAAUACAUGCAAGUCGAACGCAGUUGCGAACGGGUGAGUAACGCGUAGGUAACUGCCUCCUAGCGGGGGAUAACUAUUGGAAACGAUAGCUAAUACCGCAUACUGUUAGAUGGACCUGCGUUGUAUUAGCUAGUUGGUGAGUUAAAGGCUCACCACGGCGACGAUAAGUGGCCGACCUGAGCUGUUGUUCGGGCACGCUGGGACUCAGACACGGCCCAGACUCCUACGGGAGGAUGCAGUAGGGAAUCGUCUGGAAUGGAGGGAAGUCUGACCUAGCAACGCCGCGUGAGUGAAGGAGGUGUUCGGAUGGUAAAGCUCUGUAGUUAGAGAAGCGGGAACUAACCAGAAAGGGACGGCUAACUAAGUGCCAGCAGCCGCGGUUAAUUC